RNAcentral lists this ribosomal RNA (480 nucleotides) under uncultured anaerobic ammonium-oxidizing bacterium. RNAcentral describes it as "bacterial SSU rRNA". It matches the Rfam family "Bacterial small subunit ribosomal RNA", at positions 363 to 833 of the family's 1533-position model. The record is from RNAcentral.
UUUUCGCAAUGCCCGAAAGGGUGACGAAGCGACGCCGCGUGGGUGAGGAAGGCCUUCGGGUUGUAAAGCCCUGUCAGGAGUUAAGAAAUGUAGACUCGCUAAUAUCGGGUCUAUUUGACAAAGGCUCCAAAGGAAGCCACGGCUAACUCUGUGCCAGCAGCCGCGGUAAUACAGAGGUGGCAAGCGUUGUUCGGAAUUAUUGGGCGUAAAGAGCACGUAGGUGGAUUUGUAAGUCAGACGUGAAAGCCUUCUGUUCAACGGAAGAAUUGCAUCUGAAACUACAAACCUUGAGUGUAGGAGGGGAGAAUGGAACUUCUGGUGGAGCGGUGAAAUGCGUAGAUAUCAGAAGGAACGCCGGCGGCGAAAGCGAUUCUCUGGCCUAUUACUGACACUCAGUGUGCGAAAGCUAGGGGAGCAAACGGGAUUAGAUACCCCGGUAGUCCUAGCCGUAAACGAUGGGCACUAAGUAGAGGGGUUUUA